This 487-nucleotide ribosomal RNA is filed under the name uncultured bacterium. RNAcentral's name for it is "SSU rRNA". It matches the Rfam family "Bacterial small subunit ribosomal RNA", at positions 26 to 518 of the family's 1533-position model. The record is from RNAcentral.
AGAACGAACGCUGGCGGCGCGCUUAACACAUGCAAGUCGAACGGGGGUUCUUGGUUUCGACUGGGGACUCUAGUGGCGGACGGGUGAGUAACGCGUGGGAACCUGCCCUGGGCUCCGGGACAACCGCGGGAAACUGCGGCUAAUGCCGGAUGAUCCCCUGGAUCGAAGGUGAAGGGGGGCAAAGAUCCAUCUUAGGAUGGGGGCGGCCCAGGAUGGGCCCGCGUCCGAUUAGCUUGUUGGUGGGGUAACGGCCCACCAAGGCUUCGAUCGGUAGCUGGUCUGAGAGGAUGAUCAGCCACACUGGGACUGAGACACGGCCCAGACUCCUACGGGAGGCAGCAGUGGGGAAUCUUGGACAAUGGGGGCAAGCCUGAUCCAGCCAUGCCGCGUGAGUGAAGAAGGCCUUCGGGUUGUAAAGCUCUUUUACCAGGGACGAUAAUGACGGUACCUGGAGAAUAAGCCCGGCAAACUUCGUGCCAGCAGCCGC